GGGGGAUAUUGCACAAUGGGGGAAACCCUGAUGCAGCGACGCCGCGUGGAGGAAGAAGGUUUUCGGAUUGUAAACUCCUGUCGUUAGGGACGAUAAUGACGGUACCUAACAAGAAAGCACCGGCUAACUACGUGCCAGCAGCCGCGGUAAAACGUAGGGUGCAAGCGUUGUCCGGAAUUACUGGGUGUAAAGGGAGCGCAGGCGGACCGGCAAGUUGGAAGUGAAAUCCAUGGGCUCAACCCGUGAAUUGCUUUCAAAACUGCUGGCCUUGAGUAGUGCAGAGGUAGGUGGAAUUCCCGGUGUAGCGGUGGAAUGCGUAGAUAUCGGGAGGAACACCAGUGGCGAAGGCGACCUACUGGGCACCAACUGACGCUGAGGCUCGAAAGCAUGGGUAGCAAACAGGAUUAGAUACCCUGGUAGUCCAUGCCGUAAACGAUGAUUACUAGGUGUUGGAGGAUUGACCCCUUCAGUGCCGCAGUUAACACAAUAAGUAAUCCACCUGGGGAGUACGACCGCAAGGUUGAAACUCAAAGGAAUUGACGGGGGCCCGCACAAGCAGUGGAGUAUGUGGUUUAAUUCGAAGCAACGCGAAGAACCUUACCAGGUCUUGACAUCCGAUGCAUAGUGCAGAGAUGCAUGAAGUCCUUCGGGACAUCGAGACAGGUGGUGCAUGGUUGUCGUCAGCUCGUGUCGUGAGAUGUUGGGUUAAGUCCCGCAACGAGCGCAACCCUUAUUGCCAGUUACUACGCAAGAGGACUCUGGCGAGACUGCCGUUGACAAAACGGAGGAAGGUGGGGAUGACGUCAAAUCAUCAUGCCCUUUAUGACCUGGGCUACACACGUACUACAAUGGCGUUUAACAAAGAGAAGCAAGACCGCGAGGUGGAGCAAAACUCAGAAACAACGUCUCAGUUCAGAUUGCAGGCUGCAACUCGCCUGCAUGAAGUCGGAAUUGCUAGUAAUCGCGGAUCAGCAUGCCGCGGUGAAUACGUUCCCG
RNAcentral lists this ribosomal RNA (996 nucleotides) under uncultured bacterium. Its description in RNAcentral is "bacterial SSU rRNA". It matches the Rfam family "Bacterial small subunit ribosomal RNA", at positions 356 to 1376 of the family's 1533-position model. The record is from RNAcentral. RNAcentral also lists the same sequence under 1 other name.